GAACACACUAUCCUGAGUGAGGUAACCCAGACCCCAAAAGAUGAAUAUGGAUUUCUAAAUUAGGUUCCAUACCCACGGCAUCGUCAAAGCCACCAACUGCAGCAACCACAUUGACGAUGUUAGGAGGAGCAAGGAUGUGGUUGCUGCCCAAAUUGGAAAAACCAUGACGGGAGUAUUCGCUGCAUAGCUGGUGCCGUGAGCAGGACGUGAAGCAAGAACCCACAUAUGAGCAUUCUGAGGGUCCAACGUGUCACCUGGGAUACAAACAAGAGCAGAUUUCUGAUGACGAAGACUGAAGAUUGUCACCUCUUUCACUAACGCUGGUGGUGUUAACAGUAGUUUCCUCGGAUGACUGACGAUUGUCACCUGUUUCACUAACAUGAGAAGUUGAUGUGGCAUCGGCAUGGGCAGGAGGCUGGGGCACGAUGUCAUGCAUAUUAAGUGGAGGAAGGAAAUCUUCUCCCUUCUUUGUUUCAACCUUUAAGGAAAUUUUGAGAUGUUAGAUUUCAUUGAAAAUCUCACUUAUUUUUGUUCAUUUUAGAACUUAUCUGUUAAUGUCAGGGUCUUGAUUUAGAGUCCCCAAAUGUUUGUUUUCUCAGGCUAAUUUUAUCACAUAACCGCUGAUAUCCUGAAACUUUUGCUUCCAUUGGUUUAGUCAAAGGCCCAGAGUUUGAGAAUCUUAAAAGGGGAUCUAUUCAGCUUUAUGCCUUCUUUUCUACUGUUCUUUGCUACCUCUCUAUAAAAGAAAGAUGGAAAAAAAGACACAAUGUGUCCACUCCUGUCUUUAUGACAAGGAUUUUACAUUCCAUCCAGAUUAAGAGAAUGUGACAAUCAGGGGCUUUGGAAACAAAAAGAACCUCGCUCUUCUGCACCACACUACUGCUUUCCCCAUGGCUUUCACAAUUGCCCAUUAGGUUCCCGGGAUAACAGAAUAGUGAGGGUGACUUUUGAAAUGCAUGAAUAAAGUGUGCCACUACCCACAGCACAUGGAAACUAUGGGGCUGAAGGAAGGGUUCUGGGAGAUGCCAUCCAAACUCUUACUCCUUAGCUAUGACUGUUUUUAUAUAUGGCUGAUGAAUGCAAUGGCCUGUUCCAGCAUCUCUGUGAUGGCUUGAAUGAGAACAGACUCAUGGGCUCAUAUAUUUGAAUGUUGGUUUCCAGGCAGUGGAACUAUUUGGGGGGAAGGAUAGGUGGUGUGGCCUUGGUGGAGGAGUUGUGUGGUCUUGGGUUUCAGAAGACUGGUGCCAUUUCUAGUGAGCUCUUGGUUCCUUGUAUAGAUUUAAAUGUAACUCUCAGCUGCUGCUACAGCACCAUGCCUGCCGGCCUCAAUCACGGUGGUGAUGAAAUUGUAUGUAUCCCAUUGGAACCAUGUGCCUUACUAGACCUGGAUGGAGGUGGGUGGUCCUUGGACUUCCCACAGGGCAGGGAACCCUGAUUGCUCUUCGGACAGACGAGAGAGGGAGGCUUG
Molecule: long non-coding RNA, 1468 nt
Organism: Microtus oregoni (creeping vole)
Lineage: Eukaryota; Metazoa; Chordata; Mammalia; Rodentia; Cricetidae
Exons: 3
Source: RefSeq, a predicted model, not a curated record